This 749-nucleotide long non-coding RNA is filed under the name Cucumis sativus (cucumber). Its description in RNAcentral is "long non-coding RNA (CSAT_LNC002210)". The record is from RNAcentral. Lineage: Eukaryota; Viridiplantae; Streptophyta; Magnoliopsida; Cucurbitales; Cucurbitaceae.
UGGUGGGUAGUAUACCUUCUUCGGUGGUGGUGGAGAGUAGACGGGUGGUGGGUAGUAUACCUUCUUCGGUGGUGGUGGUGAGUAGACGGGGGGUGGGUAGUAUACCUUCUUCGGUGGUGGUGGUGAGUAGACGGGAGGUGGGUAGUACACCUUCUUCGGUGGUGGUGGUGAGUAGACGGGAGGUGGGUAGUACACCUUCUUCGGUGGUGGUGGUGAGUAGACGGGAGGUGGGUAGUAUACCUUCUUUGGCGGUGGUGGUGAGUAGACUGGUGGUGGGUAGUAUACUUUCUUUGGUGGUGGAGGAGACUUAUAGACGGGUGGUGGAUAGUAUACCUUCUUGGGAGGUGGGGGAGACUUGUAGACUGGAGGUGGGUAGUAUACCUUCUUUGGUGGUGGAGGAGACUUAUAGACGGGAGGAGGGUAGUAUACCUUCUUGGGAGGUGGGGGAGACUUGUAGACGGGAGGUGGGUAGUACACCUUCUUGGGAGGUGGGGGAGACUUGUAGACGGGAGGUGGGUAGUACACCUUCUUGGGAGGCGGGGGAGACUUGUAGACGGGAGGUGGGUAAUACACCUUCUUAGGUGGCGGAGGAGACUUGUAGACGGGAGGUGGGUAAUAAACCUUCUUGGGUGGCGGAGGAGACUUGUAGACAGGAGGUGGGUAAUACACCUUCUUUGGUGGUGGUGGAGAGUAAACUGGUGGUGGAUAGUAAACCUUCUUGGGUGGUGGUGGAGAGUGAUACACUGGAG